This 26-nucleotide non-coding RNA is filed under the name Cricetulus griseus (Chinese hamster). The record is from RNAcentral. Lineage: Eukaryota; Metazoa; Chordata; Mammalia; Rodentia; Cricetidae.
ACGGAAGGUUGGAGAUGUGGAUCAGA